Aegilops tauschii subsp. strangulata is the source of this 518-nucleotide long non-coding RNA. RefSeq lists it as uncharacterized. The record is from RefSeq and is a predicted model, not a curated record. NCBI's taxonomy places the organism in Eukaryota, Viridiplantae, Streptophyta, Magnoliopsida, Poales, Poaceae.
CGAGCUCAUCGCCACGCAAGAUGGAGCUUGAGGCCGCACCUAAACGACGCUGCCGCAUCUUGCAACACCUCCCUGGUGCCCCCGCUUCAGCUUCGCCUGGCCACGACGCCGAGGCACCUCCGCACGCCUGCAACUCCUCCCCGUUGCCCCGCUUCAGCUUCACUCGGCCACGACGGCGCCUCGCUGCUGCCUCGCCACAACUUCGCCCGGCCCUGCUGCCGCGCCUGGAUGGAUGACACAACCGCACGCCCGCAACGCCUUCCUGCUGCCGCACCGGCACCGAAAUUUCGCCCGGCCACGGCACCAACAUCAGGCUGGAACAUCGUUAGCGCCGGCGGACAUAGUCUGCAUUAACUGAAUGUGGCGAUGAAGACCAAAAGAUGCCGUCGCUCCUUUUCUCAUUUAAGAAGAACUUAUUUUAAUAAUAAAUGAUAAAACCCCAAACAGGAAUGGAAGAACGAUGUAUGGUUGUUUCUUAUCCUCUUUAUUUUAUUAUUACUGUAGCUUGAUUUGUAUAA